GUGGGGAAUAUUGGACAAUGGGCGAAAGCCUGAUCCAGCCAUGCCGCGUGAGUGAUGAAGGCCCUAGGGUUGUAAAGCUCUUUCACCGGGGAAGAUAAUGACGGUACCCGGAGAAGAAGCCCCGGCUAACUUCGUGCCAGCAGCCGCGGUAAUACGAAGGGGGCUAGCGUUGUUCGGAAUUACUGGGCGUAAAGCGCACGUAGGCGGAUCGGUCAGUUAGGGGUGAAAUCCCAGGGCUCAACCCUGGAACUGCCUUUAAUACUGCCGGUCUAGAGUUCGAGAGAGGUGAGUGGAAUUCCGAGUGUAGAGGUGAAAUUCGUAGAUAUUCGGAGGAACACCAGUGGCGAAGGCGGCUCACUGGCUCGAUACUGACGCUGAGGUGCGAAAGCGUGGGGAGCAAACAGGAUUAGAUACCCUUGUAGUCC
Molecule: ribosomal RNA, 425 nt
Filed under: uncultured bacterium
Lineage: Bacteria
Description: partial 16S ribosomal RNA
Rfam family: Bacterial small subunit ribosomal RNA
Source: RNAcentral